This 548-nucleotide ribosomal RNA is filed under the name Salmonella enterica. Its description in RNAcentral is "partial 23S ribosomal RNA". It matches the Rfam family "Bacterial large subunit ribosomal RNA", at positions 1 to 586 of the family's 2925-position model. The record is from RNAcentral. Lineage: Bacteria; Pseudomonadati; Pseudomonadota; Gammaproteobacteria; Enterobacterales; Enterobacteriaceae.
GAGGUUAAGCGACUAAGCGUACACGGUGGAUGCCCUGGCAGUCAGAGGCGAUGAAGGACGUGCUAAUCUGCGAUAAGCGCCGGUAAGGUGAUAUGAACCGUUAUAACCGGCGAUUUCCGAAUGGGGAAACCCAGUGUGACUCGUCACACUAUCAUUAACUGAAUCCAUAGGUUAAUGAGGCGAACCGGGGGAACUGAAACAUCUAAGUACCCCGAGGAAAAGAAAUCAACCGAGAUUCCCCCAGUAGCGGCGAGCGAACGGGGAGGAGCCCAGAGCCUGAAUCAGCAUGUGUGUUAGUGGAAGCGUCUGGAAAGGCGCGCGAUACAGGGUGACAGCCCCGUACACAAAAGCGCAUAUGCUGUGAGCUCGAUGAGUAGGGCGGGACACGUGGUAUCCUGUCUGAAUAUGGGGGGACCAUCCUCCAAGGCUAAAUACUCCUGACUGACCGAUAGUGAACCAGUACCGUGAGGGAAAGGCGAAAAGAACCCCGGCGAGGGGAGUGAAAAAGAACCUGAAACCGUGUACGUACAAGCAGUGGGAGCACCCUU